AGAGUUUGAUCAUGGCUCAGGACGAACGCUGGCGGCGUGCCUGAAUACAUGCAAGUAGAACGCUGAAGACUGGUGCCUGCACUAGUCAGAUGAGUUGCGAACGGGUGAGUAACGCGUAGGUAACCUACCUUAUAGCGGGGGAUAACUAUUGGACAACGAUAGCUAAUACCGCAUGACAAUUAAGUACUCAUGUACUAAAUUUAAAAGGAGCAAUUGCUUCACUAUGAGAUGGACCUGCGUUGUAUUAGCUAGUUGGUGAGGUAACGGCUCACCAAGGCUACGAUACAUAGCCGACCUGAGAGGGUGAUCGGCCACACUGGGACUGAGACACGGCCCAGACUCCUACGGGAGGCAGCAGUAGGGAAUCUUCGGCAAUGGGGGCAACCCUGACCGAGCAACGCCGCGUGAGUGAAGAAGGUUUUCGGAUCGUAAAGCUCUGUUGCUAGAGAAGAACGGUAAUGGGAGUGGAAAAUCCAUUACGUGACGGUAACUAACCAGAAAGGGACGGCUAACUACGUGCCAGCAGCCGCGGUAAUACGUAGGUCUCGAGCGUUGUCCGGAUUUAUUGGGCGUAAAGCGAGCGCAGGCGGUUAUUUAAGUCUGAAGUUAAAGGCCGUGGCUCAACCAUGGUUCGCUUUGGAAACUGGAUAACUUGAGUGCAGAAGGGGAGAGUGGAAUUCCAUGUGUAGCGGUGAAAUGCGUAGAUAUAUGGAGGAACACCGGUGGCGAAAGCGGCUCUCUGGUCUGUAACUGACGCUGAGGCUCGAAAGCGUGGGGAGCAAACAGGAUUAGAUACCCUGGUAGUCCACGCCGUAAACGAUGAGUGCUGGGUGUUAGGCCCUUUCCGGGGCUUAGUGCCGCAGCU
This 865-nucleotide ribosomal RNA is filed under the name uncultured bacterium. Its description in RNAcentral is "bacterial SSU rRNA". It matches the Rfam family "Bacterial small subunit ribosomal RNA", at positions 8 to 853 of the family's 1533-position model. The record is from RNAcentral.